RNAcentral lists this long non-coding RNA (2108 nucleotides) under Homo sapiens (human). RNAcentral describes it as "HSALNT0302511". The record is from RNAcentral. Lineage: Eukaryota; Metazoa; Chordata; Mammalia; Primates; Hominidae.
UCAGCUUUCCAAAGUGCUGGGAUUACAGGAGACAGACGCAAUAAAAGGAAGUUAACAUACUGGUAUCAAGUAUUGGACAAGACUUUUUACACACAGUAAAAUUCAUUCACUGAUACAACCAUUUUAUGAAGUAAGUAUUCUCUCCACAAAAGAGGAAGAGAGGCUCAAAGACGUUCGCUGACAUGUCUAGGAUCACACAGCUAGUAUGCGGUAUAGUAAGAAAUUUCGUGUUUGUCUCAGGUUCUUGACACAGGGUUCCUAAAACCUUAGGAACUUCCCAGGUAAUGGGAGUGUCUUGUUACUUUUAAGGAGCCCUUUUUGAUCACCCUAUCUCUAUCUGCAUAUAAUUUAUGCUGGAUAGAGUUUAUGCUAAUGAGGUUACUGAGGUGGAGCCCCUAGAUAGCCUCAGGAUGGGGCUGCUCACUACAAAGACCAAGUGAUUGAUAGCUGGUUGGAACUUUCAGCCCCACCUACUGACCUCGGGGAAAGAAAGGGGGAGGGGGAUCUGAAAAUCAAACUCUAUAAACUCUCUUGGGAUCUGAUGAGCUUCUAGGUUCCCGAACCUAGUGCUGGGAGAGUGGCACGCCCAGAGGAAGCCUAGAAGGUCUGCAGGCACCCCCUUGCCUCCCACCCCCGCCAUACCUUGCCUUAUGCAGCUCUUCCAUCUGGCCAUUCCUGAGUUGUAUCCUUUAUGAUAAACUGGUAAACAUAAGUAAAGUGUUUCCUUUAAUUCUGUGAGGCAUUCCAGCAAAUUAUUAAACCCAAGAAGGGAGUCAUGGAACCCCUGAUUUAUAGCUGGUUGGUCAAAAGUACUAGAUGCCCAGACUUGCAAUUGGCAUCUGAAGUAAGUGGAAGCAGUGUUGUGCAACUGAGCCCUUUACUUGUGGGGUCUGCUGUCAACUCCAAGUAGACGAGUAUCAGAAUUGAACUGAAUUGUAGGACACCCAGCUGGUGUCAGAAAAUUGGCUGGCGUGAGGAAGAAAAACCACACAUUUUGGUGACCUCGUGUUCUGUGCUGUAUUGGGUAUAAGUGUUUGGUUUUUCCUAUCUUGUACACAGUAAGUUAAAGACAGGAUUUUGCACUGGUCUUGUUGGUGUGUGCCUGGUAGUCCCAGCUAUUUGGGAGGCUGAGGUGGGAAAACUGCUUGAGCCCAGGGGUUCAGAGCAGCCUGAGCAGCCCCAUCUCUGGGUAGAGAGAGAGAGAGAAAAAAAAAGGAUUUUGACCUAGGUCUGAAUUCAAAGUUCAUGCUCUUUCUCUAUGUGCUGCUUCCUACUAAAAUCUAUAAAUAACCCUAAAAGAGUCAAUUAUAUUAGCCUUUUCUUAAACUGUCUUUGGCCAGAACUACUAAAAAGGAGGAAAAGACUUUUAUGGCCCUUUUCUGUUCUUGUUCAGAUAUGUAUGUUUAAAAUGUGUACAACAGGAUAAUGAAAAAAAUAAAGAAAUUUAAUAAUCUGCCAUUGACUACAUGACAACACUGCUUGUGGACAUUUUAUUCACUUUAAAAUAAAUAUUGUGCUGUAAACUGUUCAGAAGUGAAAUCCAUAUUACAGUAGGCAAGUACAAGGGAUAGACAGCACAGUGUUUUGUUAGAGUAAACCAUUCUGAGUCUCAGAAGCAUCACCAACUGUCUACAUCAGAUAGAUACUCUGAGAGUAAACAUACUCAUAAGAAGAAAAAAGUAAUAGAUAAAAGUUCUGAGAGAGAAGCAACCUAUUAUAAAUAAGAGUUUCUUGAGAUUAACAAGGGUGAGGACAACUCCCAUGUGAGCCUCUACCAUGUGCCCAGUUUCUAGUUUAACUACUUGCAGAGAGCAGUUGCUAUAUAAAAAUCUGUUGAAAGGAUUUCAGGUACUAGAAUUUACAUAUUUUACAUGGUCUCUCAUUUACACCUAUCAAUUUCUUUCUUCAUGAUCUUUACUUCAUUAGCUACUUACAUAUACUAUAAUUUACAUAAUAAAUCUAUUAUUUAAAAACUUUCAAUAGGUACAACAAUUAUGACAUUUGAUUAGGCUGGACUCUAACUUGCUUGGAUGAGAUUUAUUUUGGAAUCACAGUAUCCAAGCAAAGAAAAACAGUCAGUUUAUAAGACACAACAAAAAUGAAAAAAA